UUGAUCUGAUUGCUCUCUAAGUUGAAGUGAUUUCACUUCAUACCUGAGAAUAAUCGGGUCAAACUUCCGUUCUUGGACCUUUUGGUGCCGUUUGAUUCCGUGAUCCCUCUAGCUUCGCUUGGUUGUUGUUCAAGACUUCUAAGCACCCUCAAACAAGAACAUUUGAUGAUUGGACUUGGAACCCGACGCCAUCUUCGCGUAGUGUAUGAGCUCCAGUUCCAAUAAAGACAUAAAGGAACCGCUAGAAGAACCCGAACGCUUUCUCAGAUAAAAGUUAAAAGCCAAGAACCAAGAGAAGGUUUCGGGUGAUACACCCCCAAUGGCGGACCAACGUACCCUUAUGGAUUAUCUACGACCCACCGCAGGUAAUCUAGGCGCCGCUAUCAAUGCUCCGAAUGUCGAGGCCAAUAACUUUGAACUUCGACCGCAUUUGAUACAAAUGCUCCAAAACUCCGCAACCUUCCACGGGCUUGCGGACGAGGAUCCUCAUCUACAUAUAACUAAUUUUUUAGAAAUAUGUGAUACCUUUCGGAUCAAUGGAGCAUCAAACGACACCAUCCGCCUCCGUAUGUUUCCAUUCUCACUAAAAGACCGAGCGAAAGCUUGGCUCAACACCCUCCCAGCUGGAUCGGUAAACACCUGGGAUGAACUAGCCCAAAAGUUUCUAUAUAAGUAUUUCCCUCCUUCUAAAACUGCUAAAUUAAUGGCUGAAAUUAAUACGUACUCACAAGAGGACGGGGAAUCCUUAUAUGAAACUUGGGAAAGGUUCAAGGAGCUAUUACGCAAGUGUCCUCAUCACGGCCUCGCAAUAUGGCAACAAGUAUCCACUUUCUACAAUGGAUUGUUGCCACACACUAGGCAGACACUUGAUUCUAGCUCCGGGGGACUUUUAGGUAAUCGACGCCCACACGAAAUAUAUAAUCAGAUUGAGGAAAUCGCUCAAACCAAUUUUCAAUGGCACACUCCCCGGGGAAAUAAGUCUAUCGCCCCGGGCGCCCAUAAGGUCGACGAAAGGACCUCUUUACAAGCCCAAAUCGAGGCCCUU
RNAcentral lists this long non-coding RNA (1045 nucleotides) under Helianthus annuus (common sunflower). RNAcentral describes it as "hypothetical non coding rna". The record is from RNAcentral. Lineage: Eukaryota; Viridiplantae; Streptophyta; Magnoliopsida; Asterales; Asteraceae.